CCUACGGGAGGCAGCAGUGAGGAAUAUUGGUCAAUGGACGAGAGUCUGAACCAGCCAAGUAGCGUGAAGGAUGACUGCCCUAUGGGUUGUAAACUUCUUUUAUAUGGGAAUAAAAUGUUCCACGUGUGGGAUUUUGUAUGUACCAUAUGAAUAAGGAUCGGCUAACUCCGUGCCAGCAGCCGCGGUAAUACGGAGGAUCCGAGCGUUAUCCGGAUUUAUUGGGUUUAAGGGGAGCGUAGGUGGAUUGUUAAGUCAGUUGUGAAAGUUUGCGGCUCAACCGUAAAAUUGCAGUUGAAACUGGCAGUCUUGAGUACAGUAGAGGUAGGCGGAAUUCGUGGUGUAGCGGUGAAAUGCUUAGAUAUCACGAAGAACUCCGAUUGCGAAGGCAGUUCACUGGACUGCAACUGACACUGGGGCUCGAAAGUGUGGGUAUCAAACAGGAUUAGAUACCCUAGUAGUC
RNAcentral lists this ribosomal RNA (460 nucleotides) under uncultured bacterium. RNAcentral describes it as "partial 16S ribosomal RNA". It matches the Rfam family "Bacterial small subunit ribosomal RNA", at positions 338 to 795 of the family's 1533-position model. The record is from RNAcentral.